GAACCAUGCAUUGAGAAUUUCCCUAGUAAAUCUUUAAAUCGCUUUCAUGCUUCAUACAAGAUCUCAUCCUCCAAUUGCAUGAAAAAUGUAAUUUCAUUCCUCAACCU
Molecule: small nucleolar RNA, 107 nt
Organism: Hibiscus syriacus
Lineage: Eukaryota; Viridiplantae; Streptophyta; Magnoliopsida; Malvales; Malvaceae
Source: RefSeq, a predicted model, not a curated record